Molecule: long non-coding RNA, 6457 nt
Filed under: Theobroma cacao (cacao)
Lineage: Eukaryota; Viridiplantae; Streptophyta; Magnoliopsida; Malvales; Malvaceae
Description: long non-coding RNA (TCAC_LNC000212)
Source: RNAcentral
AAGAAUGUAGUUUUAUGUUUAUGUGCACUGCUGGGUUGUUACUUGCAUAUUUUUUGCUCCCUUGUUUAUUCAAAUAUGUUAUGUUAUGGGUUGACACUAUUGUUUGUGACAUUUGUAAUGUAAUCUGUAUUAAUUUUUUGGGUGGACCUGAUUUUCUUGUGUGUACCUUCAUAUAUCUAAUACUAAAUCAAACUCUCCCUUUUCUCAAAUUUUUUUCUCUUGGAAGAUCAUAAUAAUGCCAUCAGAUUUUGGCAAAAAGUUUGCUCCAUAUGAUGCAUGAAAAGAUUAAAGACGUUGUGAGUGGCAGGACAAAUUUGUCUUGUACAUUUAACAUGAAGGUGCAAUCUUUUGGCCUUGGCAUAUAACUUCUUGUGUGAUGCUGUUGUGAGAGAAGUGUGUGCGUGUGUGUGUGCGUGUUAGAUAAGGCCUUGGCAGCAUAUUCUUGAUACAUUACACCAUAUUUUUUAUUACCUUUGGCAGUUUAAAACAAUUGUUGUUUAUAUAUUAUUUCCGAAAGAAAGAUAAUUAACAAAUUAACGGAAAAGAAGGAAACAUAACCUUGCUGAAAAAAAUCAAUACUGAUGUGUUCCACUCAGAAUGAAUAAGAUAAUUUGGUGCCACAAAAAUGAGCCACCUUCCAAAAAACAACCUUGGCUUCUGAUGCCACAACAUUGAAUUACUCCCUGUAAACCUUCUCUACGCAAGGUCCUAAAUCAGAUGGAGGGCAGGCACUGUCAUAGUCGUGGUCAAAUUUGGUACACAACUGCUGCUAGUUAAACCACAGAUCAGACGAACUUCCAGCUUGGAGUAACAUAAUCAAUAAACACCCAUGGCUAGACUCUGGAUGUUCCAAGUUUUCGUUCGAAUAAUCGUCUCAGAAGGUAAACUUGAAGGGUGCUAGCCCCAAUAAGUGCAGCUGAUUCAAGCAUUGCCUUGUGAAUUGCUCGACGACCCAUGCUAUCAUUCACUGCAGUCAAAUUAUAGCAAAAGCAAAAUGAAUUUUGCUUGUCUAUUCCAUGGGACAAGUUAAAGUUAACAGCUAAAGCUAUAUGACCAUGUGUAAAAGGACAAAAAGAAGAGCAAAAAGAAAAAUGGCAACGGACAAUUUUUGUACCAUAAUUGUCAACUAAACCAAGCCUAGUAUUCAUGGCAGCAGAACUCAGCCCCCUUUCUAACAGGACAAGAUUUUGACUGACAAGAAGUGGAACGGAUCCAAAUAUCUUUAAAAUAGGGAUAGAUACGCUAGGAAUUGGNUGAUACGAUUAAUAUGAUUAAAACAAUUAAACUAAAAUAUGUAUAAUUAAAAUAUAAUUCUAUUAUUUAGAUUUAAAACUAAUAAUUAUAAAAAAAUUAUAAUAAAAUAAAAAUAAUAAUAACAUCAAAUAAUCACUAAAAGUUAAAAAUUAAGAUUGAGCAUGUAUAAUUACAUUAUAUUUUUUAUAAAAUUAAAAAAAAUUAAAAUAAUUAUUUAAAAUUAUUUAUAUAAUAUUAAAAUAAUUUUUAACUAUUAAUUUUUAAUAGGUUAAUAAAUAUGUCACGUAUACACGUUUAAACACGAUAAUACGAUUAAACACGAUAAUAUGAUUAAACAAGAUAACAUGAUUAAGUAAAUGUGUUUAAAUAUGUUUAUCAUGUCAGAUACUAUUAGACACGAAACACGUUAACUUUAAACUUAAAACUUGUUUAACCCUUAUCUACUCGUAUCGUGUUAACACAUCGUGUUUAAAAUUGUUAAGAUCUAAGCAUAACUAUUACCGCUUUUUGACAGGAAGCAUUUAGAGCAAGGCUUUCAAGGAUUCGCAGUGGCAAGAAGUACAAAAUAUUGAAAGAGAGCAAAAACAGUUCUUCUAAGCUACCUAUUGCCUGUCGGUCAGUCUGAGCCUCUAUCCAGUGCUGUUCGAAUUGGAUGUUGUAAAGAGCUUCCUCCAACUUUGAUAUCUGCUCAAGCAAGGGGGCAAUAUGCUCUGCAGACAUCAUUCAACAGGAAGCAAUCAUUUUUCCUCUUUUAAGGGGUUAUAGACGGGGAUAAAAGGAAGCAAGGGAACAUGUUACUCACCAUCCUUUGCAUGCUGCUCCUGGUUUGCAAAAUGCGCAAGCUUUACAUCAAAGUCAAUGAUUUCUGACCAAAGCGCAGCAAGGAAAUCAAACAGCACAACUUAAUUGAAAACCCGCAGCAUGUCUGAUUGGAGUUGAACUCCCUCUUUUGAGAGACUGUCAGCCCUCUGGUUUGCCUCGCGUUUGAUGUGAUGAAUCUCCUAAUCUCCUAGUUUCUCUUUCAUCCUCUCAAUCUGUAUCAAUCAUUUACGCAUCCUCCAAGGCGCACUAAGCGGUGACCAAAUCCAUUUUACCACAUUACUCGAAUCACUUUCAAUAACAAGUUUGUGACCAUCAUUCGACCUUGAAACCGCGAAUAUCAUCAUCGCUUCCUUCACUGCUCUAACCUCUGCCAAGUUUAAAUCCACAAUGCCAAUGGAUUUUGCAAAGAUAAUCAUCGAUUCUCCUUUAAAAAUAAAUAUUGUUAACUUUUUUUUUAAUUGAAACCUAGAUUCGAAACUUAUUUUUUUAGAUAAAAAUCAUAUACUAAUUAACAAGUCAAAUAUAUGAAUACAUAAUUAUGUGUUAACUUGUUUUAAUUUGUUCCUGAUAAUGAUCUCAAGCUAUACAAUGAGAGAUAAUUUUUUUUCUUGUUUCGUAAAUUUCAAUCAUUUGUCGACACAUUUCCAACAUUACCACUCCUAUGAUAUAAUACAAGUCAAAAACAAAGGUGAUCAAACCUGUUGGGUUGAGGACCAAGCUUUAAUGCACCAUUGGGCACUCAUGGUGGAGUUCAUAAAUCAUACAUUUUGAUCAAUCAAUGCCUGUAUAUGCAAGCAACAUUACAAGCAACAUUUGCAGAUAAUGUAAGUAACUGAAAAAGAGUUGCUUCUUUGUAGGGAUUCAUGUCUGAACAUUACAUUGUUGCAUUGAACGUGACAGAAUUUCUGUAACUUGCCCAGCCUCAGUUGAAUUCCUAAGGUUUGAGUUUACAGCAGAACUCCACCAGUCAUAAACUAUCUCUGUUCAACCCCAAAACCAAGAACAGGCCGCAUGAAGGAAACCUUUAUUUAAAAAUGUUUUGCAAUCCAUCGAAGAUCCUUAAAGCUCUCAGUUCACCACUCCUCAUAUCCCUCAAUCUCUUCCUCAGUAUCUGGAACCGUUCACAUAAGCAGAAUGAAGCAGAAGCAUCAGGCCAGGAAGCAAGAUAUAAAUUAUUUAGCAGCAGUAUAUGCUCCUAACUUCAUGGUCUAAAUUCCUUAUUUUCAUGAAACAAUAUGCCCAGUACCUAGAACAUGCAACAUCUAAUAUUUUGCACUGAUGAAUCCUUGGCAUACUCAAGACCUUAAUUCAGUGAACAUAAGUGGUGGGAUUUGGUAGACAGAAUAUGAAGUACUUCAAUUCUCAAGCAACCAAAAAUGAGUACUUCACUCGAUAACAAGGGAAAAACACUGCCUAAGCAGAUUACUAACUCAAAACUCAGCAUCCAAUCGAGGGAGCUCAAACAACAGAUUAUAAGUGAUAUGUUAUGAAACAAGCAUCAACAGAGAUGCGCUAAACAACUUAAAAAGAAAUUUGAAAAAUCAAACGAGGUUUAGUCUUACAUUUUGAGCACGAAAUAGUAUUCUCUGCUCACUUGUACAUAAAUCUACUGCUAGCUGUUUCAUAAACACUCUUCGGUUUAGUUGUUUUGGAGAUGUCACAUCCAAAUCUAUGGAGCCACUUGCCUAUAAAAGAAAUUACCAAGAAUUGCACACUGAAUAUGAGCUAUUUAAGACGAGCCCUAUCUAUAUCAAAUCAACCCUUUUUCAUUUUUAUGGUAACUUCAAUCUAAGUAAAGUUUUCCAAGUCCUGAAAAAAGAUAUUUCUCUCACCUGCAAGAAUUUGGAGUAUUUUGAUAUGCUUGACUCGCAACUGUCUAGAAUAAAUUGCCGUGCUUUUUCUUCAAUUUCAGGGUAUCUUAAGUCCUUCUUGGCAAUAGAUUUAUUUGAUGCUGCAGCAGCCAUCUGGAGAAGCAACCAUUAGGAGUUCAAUAAUCAAAAUUUAUUCCAUGAUUUAGUGGAUAGAGUUCUCAAACCUCUUCAAACUGCCUGCUCAUGCUUGGAGGGCUGACUGCCAGGUAAGCAUAUGCCAUUAACUCCAGUGGCCAACCAGUGAUUUGUAUUGGAUAACACUGAGAACUGCCAGAAAGGUUCACAGAUUUGAUAUGAGAAAUUAAAAUGUAAAAAAACUAAAUAUAGAUAACAGAGGAAGCACAAAUCAUAAAUAUAGAUAACACAUUUAACUCCCUAAUGAAUCAACCCCAAAAAUCUAGGACUACUAAAACAAGAUUAAAUUAAAAAAUGAGUAAAAAACAUUUAUCCAGCUUACGCAGACAAUCCAUGCUUCCUUAAAGCUUCCAACUUCUCCUUAUAACAUUUGUCAGAUUUUUUAAGCGAUAGAGGGAGCUCUACUGAAUCACUAGGAUUUGUGCCCUCUUUUGGAGCAAAUCCAUAAGAUAACAACAGCUCUCCAUUAGAUUUUUUGCCAUAUGAUAUGAAAACCUGCAUAAAAUGAUGGAAGCCGACAUUUCAAACUUUGCCAACUAACAUGAUAUUAGUGGUCCAAACUCCAAACUCUGAGGUUGUUCAUGCUUACAACAGAUUAGCACGUCUAUGAUCAUUAAGAAACUGAUUGAUAAUAUGUUACUUUAAAGGGUCAAUCCUAGCUUCAAAAUGUAUCAACCAAAUAUGGUGUUCAACGGUGAGAACAAAAUUUAUAAGUAUCUUAAUAUACGGGAAUGCAUGUAAGGAUACAUAUAUAGUGUGCGUGUGUGCAGGCACUCAUGCACGAGUGCAAAGAAGUGGCUGCAUGCUCUCAUGCAUACAGGUAGUAAGAAAAAGAACACAAUGUUUCCACCUCCCGUUUAAAAAAUUAAUUGCAAAUUCCCUUGAAUAGAUCUCAUGAAGCUUCCAAAUCUGAAAUACUUUAGCAACCGGCUUUUUUGGAAGAAGUAGUAAUCUUUGAAACAAAAUCAUUAAUGACAACCAAAUAAUAAUAUAAGUUAUAUAUAUGAUGUACAUUUUGUGAAAGAAGAAGUAAUUGUUUAAAGAAAAUCAUUAAUGACGACCAAAUAAUAAUUUAAGUUCUAUGUAUGAUGUACAUUGCUCUCCCUUCACAUACAUAGUCAUAUAAGAAAAGUAAACAAAAAAUCUUUCAGCAACAACUUUAUUAUUGCUCUAAUCUUCUAUGAUCCCUAUGAUCAAAUAAAAUAUAUGUCAAAAUCUCAUUUACCUGCUCACCUGGCUGAUAAGCCCGAUCUGUUGUAAAGACAACCCCCUGUGAUCAUUUGUCAUAAUCCAAAAAUGUUUCCACCUUAACCAAAAAAAGACAAGCGAAGGUACUAAUUAGAUUAAUUAUAUAUCUUGUAUGCAUCCUUUAUAAAGAAAGACUUCUCUAUAUCUCACAGCUAUGGUUGAGCAUAUCUGCCCAAGGAACAAGGCAACCUUUUCAUCCAUUGAAGGUAGCCUCACCUGUUUUUAACAGCAAAAUGAAAGUUUUAACUUUUCCAUUCUUAUAAAUCAACUAUCCUCUCCUGCACUUUGUGUUAAACCUCUAAAUUAAGCCCCAAUUACAGAACAUUUACAAUGCAAAAUUGUAUGUAAUAAAGUCACAAAGUUAGUGGUAUCAAAGGAGACUUGAGAAGUACAGCAUCAUUUACCUCUUUAGUUAAAUUUUAAGGCAGAGAUAUAUAAUUUCAAAUAAUUUAUUCUACAUAAAAAUUCGAAGCCGUUUAACAUUGCUACUGGCAUACGUAAACAUUUUCCAGGUGACCUGGUCAAGGAUUUAAAAGUUGAGAAUUUUAAGAAAAACACAAAAACAUAAAAUUAAGAACUUUCUCACUUUGACAACUGACUUAAUUUCCAGGCAGAAUUGUGGGAUCAAUUUGACUUAAUUUCUAUAUAUAUAUAUAUAUAUAUUAUAUAUUUUNUAUUUCAAUGUUGUGAAAUGCAGCAGAAAAAUGGUUUUGCUGUAUACAAGCUGCUCAUGCAGACUAAAGAGGUGGCUCUUACAGCGUAAGAGCUUCCAAAAGAAAGCAUUAAUUAUCUACACCACGGCCAUGCCCGUUAGCAAUGAUCCAGAAGACUGGAGCUGUAUGAGAAGCUAUGAUAGGUCCUGGUGGAAUGUGUUAGUUGCCAGUUUGAGCAAUGGCCAUGGGGUGGGCGUGGGACGAGAGAAGAAUGUAGUUUUAUGUUUAUGUGCACUGCUUGGUUGUUACUUGCAUAAUUUUUGCUCCCUUGUUUAUUCAAAUAUGUUAUGUUAUGGGUUGACACUAUUGUUUGUGACAUUUGUAAUGUAAUCUGUAUUAAUUUUUUGGGUGGACCUGAUUUUCUUGUGUACCUUCAUAUAUCUAAUACUAAAUCAAACUCUCCCUUUUCUCAAA